This is a ribosomal RNA of Cavia porcellus (domestic guinea pig), 156 nucleotides long. NCBI's taxonomy places the organism in Eukaryota, Metazoa, Chordata, Mammalia, Rodentia, Caviidae. The record is from Rfam.
GUCUACGGCCAUACCACCCUGAACGCACCCCAUCUCGUCUGAUCUCGGAAGCUAAGCAGGGUCAGGCCUGGUUAGUACUUAGAUGGGAGAUUGUUAAAAAUAAAUGAAUAAACUAAUAAAAAAGAGAGCACCUGGGAAGCACCAAUGAUGUUAGUA